RNAcentral lists this ribosomal RNA (549 nucleotides) under uncultured Glomus. RNAcentral describes it as "SSU rRNA". It matches the Rfam family "Eukaryotic small subunit ribosomal RNA", at positions 548 to 1098 of the family's 1831-position model. The record is from RNAcentral. Lineage: Eukaryota; Fungi; Glomeromycota; Glomeromycetes; Glomerales; Glomeraceae.
UUGGAGGGCAAGUCUGGUGCCAGCAGCCGCGGUAAUUCCAGCUCCAAUAGCGUAUAUUAAAGUUGUUGCAGUUAAAAAGCUCGUAGUUGAAUUUCGGGGUUAGUAGGUUGGUCAUGCCUCUGGUAUGUACUGGUCUCACUGAUUCCUCCUUCCUGAUGAGCCGUAAUGCCAUUAAUUUGGUGUUGCGAGGAAUCUGGACUGUUACUUUGAAAAAAUUAGAGUGUUUAAAGCAGGCUAACGCUUGAAUACAUUAGCAUGGAAUAAUGAAAUAGGACGUUCGAUCUUAUUUUGUUGGUUUCUAGGAUUGACGUAAUGAUUAAUAGGGAUAGUUGGGGGCAUUAGUAUUCAAUUGUCAGAGGUGAAAUUCUUGGAUUUAUUGAAGACUAACUACUGCGAAAGCAUUUGCCAAGGAUGUUUUCAUUAAUCAAGAACGAAAGUUAGGGGAUCGAAGACGAUCAGAUACCGUCGUAGUCUUAACCAUAAACUAUGCCGACUAGGGAUCGGAUGAUGUUAAUUUUUUAAUGACUCAUUCGGCGCCUUACGGGAAAC